GGAUUGUGGCUCAGCGGCAGAGCACUUGCCUAGCACGCACCAGACCCGGGUUCGAUCCUCAGCACCA
This 67-nucleotide transfer RNA is filed under the name Marmota monax (woodchuck). RNAcentral describes it as "tRNA.Ala". The record is from RNAcentral. Lineage: Eukaryota; Metazoa; Chordata; Mammalia; Rodentia; Sciuridae.